This 315-nucleotide ribosomal RNA is filed under the name Triticum aestivum (bread wheat). Its description in RNAcentral is "partial small subunit ribosomal RNA". The record is from RNAcentral. Lineage: Eukaryota; Viridiplantae; Streptophyta; Magnoliopsida; Poales; Poaceae.
AUGUUUGCUCUUAUUGGUAAUGUUCCUCCGGAGCCUCACAAACCAGAAGAAGAAGGCAAGAAGAAGGUUAGAGUCGCCACCGGUGCUACUUUCACGUGGAUUGUAUCGAACUUCAGUAUUUGCCCUGAGGAUGCUGAUGAGGACAUGGUGAAGACAUAUGCUCGUGUCUACAUGUGGUACGUGAUAUCCAGGACUAUGUUUGCUGAUGGCACAGGCAAGAAUGCUCCAUGUAUGUGGCUCAAGGCGUUGACCAUCUUCGAUAGCAAAUGGAGUUGGGGUUCGACGACACUGGCUUACUUGUAUAGACAUGUAUGA